Molecule: long non-coding RNA, 655 nt
Organism: Nymphalis io (European peacock)
Lineage: Eukaryota; Metazoa; Arthropoda; Insecta; Lepidoptera; Nymphalidae
Exons: 2
Source: RefSeq, a predicted model, not a curated record
CCAGGAGAAGACACUAAUAGAUAUUGAGAAAAAAAGAUUGCUUAAUACGAUCUCAUCACCUUAUAAAACUGUAUUAAACCUCAAUAAAUCGUCUGGAGAAAGAAACGACCGCAAUUUAACUUCAUCGUCAAAGAAUAUUAAGUUGGAAAAAGCUAUAAAUAUUUCAAACAUUAAUUAUCAACAAACAUUCCAAAACAUGUCCGAAAAGUCAAAUCAAAACAAUACAACAAAAACAAUAUCAAGCGAGAAUAAUGAAAACCCGGAUAAAGUCAAGGUCAAGUCGUUAGAUGUAUUCCCAGUAAAUUCAAACAAUCUUGCAAAUUCUACGAUUGAUUUCAAGCCUUCAAACAAUAAAACUGUUAUACAAAGUGUUGGUAAAGCAAGUGAUUUAGAAGGUACAAAAGAAAACAAUUAUUAUAAUGUAACAUUCUUUUCGGCAUUUGUCGGUAAUCAAUGCCCGACAGGCUAUGGAAAGGUAAACGGGCAAUGUGUCGUGAAACAUUAAUAACGUUUAGACAAUCUAAUUCCAAUCCUAACUACGCAACGUUGUGACUUGCAUUUUGCAUUAAAACAUGGUAUCCUACGUGCAUCGUCAAUAAUUACAACGUAUUAUGAUGGCUUUUUUUAUGACAUAAUAAAUCAAAUAAUAUCUAAA